AGAGCUAGCAAUCCCAUAAACCGUGGCUCAGUUCAGAUCGUAGGCUGCAACUCGCCUACGCGAAGGAGGAAUCGCUAGUAAUCGCAGGUCAGCAUACUGCGGUGAAUACGUUCCCGGGCCUUGUACACACCGCCCGUCACACCAUGGAAGUUGGCCACGCCCGAAGCCGUUACUCCAACCCUUGUGGAGGAGGAUGUCGAAGGUGGGGCUGAUGACUGGGGUGAAGUCGUAACAAGGUAGCCGUACCGGAAGGUGCGGCUGGAUCACCUCCUAACA
This 276-nucleotide ribosomal RNA is filed under the name uncultured Synechococcus sp. RNAcentral describes it as "partial 16S ribosomal RNA". It matches the Rfam family "Bacterial small subunit ribosomal RNA", at positions 1260 to 1533 of the family's 1533-position model. The record is from RNAcentral. Lineage: Bacteria; Bacillati; Cyanobacteriota; Cyanophyceae; Synechococcales; Synechococcaceae.